GGUUCGAUGGCGUGGUUGGUUGUCGCAUCUGUCUAACAUACAACUUGUUCAGCACAGUACUCACACAGAAGGUCCCCAGUUCGAGUCUGGUUCGAAUCA
Non-coding RNA from Paramarasmius palmivorus, 99 nucleotides. The record is from the annotation of a GenBank genome assembly. Lineage: Eukaryota; Fungi; Basidiomycota; Agaricomycetes; Agaricales; Marasmiaceae.